UGGGGAAUAUUGCACAAUGGGCGCAAGCCUGAUGCAGCCAUGCCGCGUGUGUGAAGAAGGCCUUCGGGUUGUAAAGCACUUUCAGCGGGGAGGAAGGCGAUAAGGUUAAUAACCUUGUCGAGUGACGUUACCCGCAGAAGAAGCACCGGCUAACUCCGUGCCAGCAGCCGCGGUAAUACGGAGGGUGCAAGCGUUAAUCGGAAUUACUGGGCGUAAAGCGCACGCAGGCGGUCUGUCAAGUCGGAUGUGAAAUCCCCGGGCUUAACCUGGGAACUGCAUUCGAAACUGGCAGGCUAGAGUCUUGUAGAGGGGGGUAGAAUUCCAGGUGUAGCGGUGAAAUGCGUAGAGAUCUGGAGGAAUACCGGUGGCGAAGGCGGCCCCCUGGACAAAGACUGACGCUCAGGUGCGAAAGCGUGGGGAGCAAACAGG
RNAcentral lists this ribosomal RNA (429 nucleotides) under Chloroflexota bacterium. RNAcentral describes it as "Chloroflexi bacterium partial 16S ribosomal RNA". It matches the Rfam family "Bacterial small subunit ribosomal RNA", at positions 355 to 776 of the family's 1533-position model. Lineage: Bacteria; Bacillati; Chloroflexota. The record is from RNAcentral.